Molecule: ribosomal RNA, 503 nt
Filed under: uncultured crenarchaeote
Lineage: Archaea; Thermoproteati; Thermoproteota
Description: bacterial SSU rRNA
Rfam family: Archaeal small subunit ribosomal RNA
Source: RNAcentral
GGCAUACGGCUCAGUAACGCGUACUCCAUUAACCUAUGGACGGGAAUAACCUCGGGAAACUGAGAAUCAUGCCCGAUAGAACAUUAUGCCUGGAAUGGUUUAUGUUCCAAAUGAUUUAUCGCCGUAGGAUGGGACUGCGGCCUAUCAGUUUGUUGGUGAGGUAAUGGCCCACCAAGACUAUUACAGGUACGGGCUCUGAGAGGAGUAGCCCGGAGAUGGGUACUGAGACACGGACCCAGGCCCUAUGGGGCGCAGCAGGCGAGAAAACUUUGCAAUGUGCGAAAGCACGACAAGGUUAAUCCGAGUGGUUUCUGCUAAAGAAACCUUUUGUCAGUCCUAGAAACACUGAUAAAUAAGGGGUGGGCAAGUUCUGGUGUCAGCCGCCGCGGUAAAACCAGCACCUCAAGUGGUCAGGAUGAUUAUUGGGCCUAAAGCAUCCGUAGCCGGCUCUGUAAGUUUUCGGUUAAAUCUGUACGCUCAACGUACAGGCUGCCGGGAAUACU